Molecule: long non-coding RNA, 882 nt
Filed under: Vulpes vulpes (red fox)
Lineage: Eukaryota; Metazoa; Chordata; Mammalia; Carnivora; Canidae
Description: lncRNA (ENSVVUG00000004643.1)
Source: RNAcentral
AACAUCUUAACGUUUUGAAUAACUCUUCUAAUCAUGUCUGUUAGGGGCUGGAUAAGAAGCAACGGCUUUCAGCUGGCCUGCCAGUGAGGCAUUCAGGCGGGUUUGUGGUUAACCAAGGCCACACACCCAGUAAGCAACAAGAUGGGGUUUAAUUGUAGUGGUGUCUGGUGGGGGGCCUGGCACCUCUGUGGUGUCGGGUGUCAGCCAGGCCUGCUUCUUUUCCAGUGAGAGGAGAGGUCCAGUCAGGUCUCACCGGCUGGCUCCGAGGUUCAGCUUCAAUGGCUGUGAAAACAGACACCCAAAUAAUCAAAGUGCUGCAUUCCUGUGUCUAAACGGCAGCUAAUCCCCUCUCCUUUGAAGGAGCAGAAACCGCAGGUGACAAAUCAGCUGUGUGGUUCCUGUGUCCCCAAGUCCUGGAGCUGUCAGAGCCCAAAGGAACCUCAAGGAUGCCUCCGGUCAUCUCAAGGGUGUUUGUCACCCGGCAAGAAGUUUGUGAAAGACAAGUUCUAAGUGACUACCCAACUGGAGGCUUAUGAUUGGUUGCUAUGAGAUCUGCAGAAAUAUGGGAACUAAUCAGAGAAGCAUGUACAGAUUACACAGAGAGGGAUGUUCGUCUGCAUUAAAAGCAUUACAAUUGGAAACAAUUAGAUGCAAUCUCAAUAUACAACUAUAUGGCCUUUUGCUUCCUUACCCCGGAGAAAGCAAGAUGGGUCACCAGGACCACGCAAAAAGAGAACCAAGGUUCUCCUUUUUGCCACGUCUGCUCAAACUGGCACAGUCUGACCCGGAAAUACAGUGUCAACAUGUGCUGUCAGUGUCCCUGUCCUUAAGUUGGACAAACUAAACGUCCUUGAAUGGGUGAUCCAAGAUAUUACCUUACCG